CAUUAGCCGUGGCCCAAAGUCCCAAAUCACUCAGUCACUCACUCACUUCAAGUCUCGUCGCUCUCUCUCCCCUAACAAAAUGGGGAUUUGUCCACUGUUUUAAAGGUAUUCUUCUUAUUCUGAUAGAUUUGAUCUGUUGUUUUGAUUUGAUUUUGUUUCUGGCUUUCUGCAAUUAUAUUUAUAUUGGUAUUUCGAUCAGGAAUUAAGUAAACCAAGAUUGUUCCUUUUCUUUUAUUCUUUAUUUUCGAGCUAUGUGUUACUGGCUUAAGCAUUCCUGCAACAAUUCUGGAUUUCAUUUUUAUGGCAUGGAUGAAUUUGAUAUUCUCAGUGCUUUCACUUAUUAUUGAAAUCAUAGUAUCUACAAUGUACUAUGUAGUAUAAUACUAUGAUUUCAAUUUUCAACUAAUAAGUUCUUAGUCUUUCGCUCUUUACCUACAUCAUUAAUUUAUUAGCUUUUGCAACUCAUCUUCCUGAGCCUUUAGAUACUAUUAAAUCAUUGAUAUUCUUAAAACUGCCAACCAAAGUUUUGAUUUUUAUUAUGUUUUUCUUUAGAUAUUACUGUUGGUGAUGUUUUUGAGUAUGUAUGGAGGAACAUUUUUUUUUUUUUUAACUAUAAUUAGGAUUCCAACUAUAGGAGUUUCACUCGUUAUGAUAUAAAUAGAAGACUGCGAAGCAGUGGGCACCGUUCGUGGAAUUGAAGAGAUCGAUUAGUGAAGAGAAGAACAAGAUAUAUGGAGAGAAGGAUAAGAAAAUGAAGAAAUUGAAUUGAAAUUAGAAUGAUUUCAGGAAAUUGAAAUUGGAGGAUGGAAAGAUACGGGAAGAAGAAGAAGAAUAUGUCCGCCUCAACCGAUAUCUUACUUAGCUUUUCUUUAAAGUGACACUUCAUUGCCCGCCUCAACUAACUGUUGGGUUAAGUGGCACUUCAUUACCCGCCUCAACUAAACCUUUGGGUUAAGUGGCACUUCAUUGUCUGCCUCAAGUAAAACUUUAGUUUAAGUGGCUCUUCAAAGCCCACCCAAUUCAAGCGGCACUUCAUUACCCGCCUCAAUUUGGUGAACCAUUAGAAACUGGAAGUUUUUUUCAUCAAAUAGUCCAUCAACUGGAUACCAAAUCUGUUGAUGUGGCCCAUCAAAUUUGGUGAACCAUUAAAGAUAUCCUUAUGUAACCUUUCUGGUUGAUUAAAAAAAAAAAACCAAGUUGAUCCUGUCCAACACAGCAAUUAUCCAGUGCAUCCUUAUUUAAUGGCAUGACGAGCAAUUAAACAACCGCAUAGCCCGGAAAAAUGUGGUUAUUUACUCUGCCCUUGGUCUUCAGUCUUCACUCAUUAGCCGUGGCCCAAAGUCCCAAACCACUCAGUCACUCACUCACUUCAAGUCUCGUCGCUCUCUCUCCCCGAACAAAAUGGGGAUUUCAAGUGUUUGGUAAAUUUGUUAUUUGUCCACGGUUUUAAAGGUAUUCUUCUUAUUCUGAUAGAUCUGAUCUGUUGUUUUGAUUUGAUUUUGUUUCUGGCUUUCUGCAAUUAUAUUUAUAUUGGUAUUUUCGAUCAGGAAUUAAGUAAACCAAGAUUGUUCCUUUUCUUUUAUUCUUUAUUUUCGAGCUAUGUGUUACUGGCUUAAGCAUUCCUGCAACAAUUCUGGAUUUCAUUUUUAUUAAGUGAACUUUUGGGCAUGGAUGAAUUUGAUAUUCUCAGUGCUUUCACUUAUUAUUGAAAUCAUAGUAUCUACAAUGUACUAUGUAGUAUAAUACUAUGAUUUCAAUUUUCAACUAAUAAGUUCUUAGUCUUUCGCUCUUUACCUACAUCAUUAAUUUAUUAGCUUUUGCAACUCAUCUUCCUGAGCCUUUAGAUACUAUUAAAUCAUUGAUAUUCUUAAAACUGCCAACCAAAGUUUUGAUUUUUAUUAUGUUUUUCUUUAGAUAUUACUGUUGGUGAUGUUUUUGAGUAUGUAUGGAGGAACAUUUUUUUUUUUUUAACUAUAAUUAGGAUUCCAACUAUAGGAGUUUCACUGGUUAUGAUAUAAAUAGAAGACUGCGAAGCAGUGGGCACCGUUCGUGGAAUUGAAGAGAUCGAUUAGUGAAGAGAAGAACAAGAUAUAUGGAGAGAAGGAUAAGAAAAUGAAGAAAUUGAAUUGAAAUUAGAAUGAUUUCAGGAAAUUGAAAUUGGAGGAUGGAAGGAAGGAAAUUGAAGGAUACGGGAAGAAGAAGAAGAAGAAUAUGUGAAGGAGAUGAUAGAGAGGGAGAAGAAAUCGAAGGAAAUGAUAGCUAAAAGAAGGGAAGAUAGGAGAGAUUGAGGGAGGAAGAAGAAGAGCGGGGAAAAAAAAACAAGACAGACGGACAGACAUCAUUUAAGACAUUUUAUUUUUUACAUCCCAUCCCAAAAACCUCCCUAUGGUCGGUGGAUCAUGAACACAACUAGUAUGUAAGUACUAAAUCACAAUUCUCUCAUACAAACAGGGCUUAUUAGUGAGAAAUUACCAAGUUACAACUGUAGACUGCAUAAAGUUUUAAGAUUAUGAAAUCAGUUAGAGGUUGCUUUCACUUUAUAGAGCUGUAAGGAGGUUCAGUAUAUGGGUAUGGGAUCACUGCUCAUUGUGGAAGGGAAUAGUUAACUAUAAGAGAUUAGUUACCAAUCUCAGCUCGACUCGACUGCUCUUUUAUGUUAACGUUCCCAGAAGUCAGUUAAUAGUCUAGAAUGAAAAGGGGUGCAAGCAUGGGACUUCAAAUUUAGAAAUAGGUUUUUUGACAGGGAUCUAAAUACAAAAAGGUCACAGAGUUUAUGCAUGGUAUUAAGUUGAAUAUAACGUUGAUCAAAGGUGGACUACAAAUCUUUAUCCCUACUACUCUGAACGUUAUGUGCGAGGUUAUUGAAACAAGGAGUUGGGUGAACGAAAUUUCCUAGUUUCCCAUCAAAGGUGAACUUUGCUGUAAAUUUGGAUUUUGAUGUUGGGUAGAAGAUCCUGAUUACCUGCAAUAAUUUGCAGGAGGGGAUAUUCGUUAUGGCCAACAGAUGCACAUUAUCCAUAGGGAGCAGAAGCAAUUUCAUGCCUACUCCUGGACUGCAAUAUGGAUGAGUAGCCGAGUACGUGGACAGUACUUCUGCUCAUAGCAACUUGACUCGGACAAGCUGGAAUUUUUUUUACUGCCCACAAUAAACUAAGAGGAUAUCAUUGUAAUGUAGAUACUUUUGCUGGCUUGAGCUUAAAUUUUCUCAACGCCACUUAAUAUCCCCUUGAAGGCUUGACUACAAUAUAUUUUGUUAUUAAAUCUGAAUUGUUUUGUUUUUCUUGUUGGAUUGUUUUUUGUUUUCAGAAUGUAAAAUCCAUGAGCAAGCUUACAUCGGAUGAAGACAUAAAA
This 3351-nucleotide long non-coding RNA is filed under the name Aquilegia coerulea. Its description in RNAcentral is "long non-coding RNA (ACOE_LNC001412)". Lineage: Eukaryota; Viridiplantae; Streptophyta; Magnoliopsida; Ranunculales; Ranunculaceae. The record is from RNAcentral.